GCAGAAGUGAAAUGAUGCCCUUCUUUAUCUGAGUGUCUUCUCUCUCUGUGGCUGAGAGACCUUUGCCUGAUAAUCACCAGCACCUAAUUAAUCUGGCCCUUAUCAUAAAAGACACUUUACUUGUGUAACAGCAGUGAUGAAUCUUGAUGCCCUUGCUGAAGCUAAUCUUUAACACAGUUAUAUCGUUUGAUCGCUUGAUCCCCGUAGAAUCAGCUGUAACCGUGCGUAAAACAUGAUAACAUGGUGUCACCAGACGACCGUGUCACCAGAGACUGGCUCGGAGGGUGUGCUGCAGACGAUCCGUCAGGAUCUCCAGCUCCUGGGUCAGCUUGUACUCCUCGCGAAACUGCUCGCCCAGCAGCACCAGGUCCCGGGUGGCGUCGUGCAGCGGGAUGUCGCUCAGGUACAGGCCUCUUCGCGUGAGAUCGUCCAGGUUCAUAACGCUGGUCGUCGAAGUGAAGAGGAAAAGGUGGUAAACUGUGGACGACUCAUUUAUUGCUGCUGUUUACGGCCUUUUAAAGCUCCAGUAUCUUUGGCCAAUAUGCUAAAGCUAGCACUAGCUGUAUGGAUGGAGGCAGUGCUUGUGUCAGGGCAGGCUGCACUGAGGCCAUACCUGGGUGAGCAGAGAAAAAGGAUGUUCUCUGCCUCCGGCAGGUAAAUCAUCUGUCCUUUCAGCCGCAGACAGCUGAUCUCCACCCCCGUCAGCUCGUCCUCGUUCUCUACUGUCUCCACAUUCAGCAGGCCCUCCUGUCAGGAUUACAUCACAUUUAUGAAUAUUUCAUUACAUGUUCUUCUCUAAAUCUGCCUCAAAACUGUCCCUGGCACCUGUUCAGCUCGAUCUUUAUUUUUAAAUCUGCGCGUUUUUUGCUUCGGCUGCGUGCGUGCGUGCACAUGCGUCAUCCAUCACUGGGUAGAAUUCAGCGCGUUGUGCGUUUGUUUUUGCUUUGUUACGUAUUUUUCCCCGCAGCAUCAACGAUUGCCUGUUUGUCGUGAGUACAAACUUCAGCUCUGCUUCAUAAAUAAAUAGCUGUAUGAAAUUGUACAUAUUUACCUCUUUGAAUGAAUAAUUGUUUGCAUGCUAAUAUUUGCCUGUGAACAAUUUCCUCCUCAUUACCAAUGUUGAUGAAGCCUGUGGAGUCAAAAUAUUAUGCAGGUGCUAAAAAUAUCAGUGAGCUCAUAAAUAUUAAUAUUAUAAACACUUUUGUCUACUAUCAAGGUACAUUUUGAGCAUUUAGACUCUGGCGUGGUGCCAUUAGCUUUCUGAGAGAGGGUCUGUACCCGCUCUUACUUUAAGUAUAUUAAUUGUAGUGUAGGCACAAGGAGUGGUGAGAGCAGUAGUGAUGUGUACUGUACCUUGCUUCGCAGCACGAACACGGUGUUGAUGUGAGAGAGGAUGCCAUGAUAACUGAAGUCAAUGUGAGGCCUCACCAAGGAAAAAACUGAAGGGAGGUUACAGGUGCCAGGCUGGAGCUGAGGAGCACAGUAGAAGUGUGCAUAUCUGACUUGCUGAAUGUUGAACCCGGUCGGGCACAGUUGGGUCGGAUACCUGUGGCAGGACUCGGUAAAUGGCGUUUCCACACUGUGUGAGCAUCAGGUCCUUGUCAAACAUGAGGUGGAACGGGAAGGCUUUGCAGA
Betta splendens (Siamese fighting fish) is the source of this 1635-nucleotide long non-coding RNA. RefSeq lists it as uncharacterized. The record is from RefSeq and is a predicted model, not a curated record. The transcript has 3 exons. Lineage: Eukaryota; Metazoa; Chordata; Actinopteri; Anabantiformes; Osphronemidae.